GAUGAAGAACGUAGCGAAAUGCGAUAAGUAAUGUGAAUUGCAGAAUUCAGUGAAUCAUCGAAUCUUUGAACGCACAUUGCGCUCCCUGGUAUUCCGGGGAGCAUGCCUGUCCGAGCGUCAUUGCUGCCCUCAAGCACGGCUUGUGUGUUGGGCCUCCGUCCUCCUCCCGGGGGACGGGCCCGAAAGGCAGCGGCGGCACCGCGUCCGGUCCUCGAGCGUAUGGGGCUUCGUCACCCGCUCUUGUAGGCCCGGCCGGCGCUUGCCGACACAUCAAUCUUUUUUCCAGGUUGACCUCGGAUCAGGUAGGGAUACCCGCUGAACUUAAGCAUAUCAAUAAGCGGAGGA
This 345-nucleotide unclassified non-coding RNA is filed under the name soil metagenome. RNAcentral's name for it is "partial contains 5.8S ribosomal RNA, internal transcribed spacer 2, and large subunit ribosomal RNA". The stretch from base 1 to 120 matches the Rfam family "5.8S ribosomal RNA", at positions 35 to 154 of the family's 154-position model. The record is from RNAcentral.